AGUGAACGCUGGCGGCAGGCCUAACACAUGCAAGUCGAGCGGCAGCGGGUCCCCGCGAGGGGAUGCCGGCGAGCGGCGGACGAGUGAGGAACACAUCGGAAUCUGCCUGGUUGUGGGGGAUAACGUAGGGAAACUUACGCUAAUACCGCAUGCGACCCUGAGUCGACGGACUUGGGGUGAAAGUGAGGGACCUUCGGGCCUCACGCGACCAGAUGAGCCGAUGUCGGAUUAGCUAGUUGGCGGGGUAACGGCCCGCCAAGGCGACGAUCCGUAGCUGGUCUGAGAGGAUGAUCAGCCACACUGGGACUGAGACACGGCCCAGACUCCUACGGAGGCAGCAGUGGGGAAUCUUGACAAUGGCGCAAGCCUGAUCCAGCCAUGCCGCGU
Molecule: ribosomal RNA, 387 nt
Filed under: uncultured bacterium
Lineage: Bacteria
Description: bacterial SSU rRNA
Rfam family: Bacterial small subunit ribosomal RNA
Source: RNAcentral